RNAcentral lists this small RNA (169 nucleotides) under Streptomyces cellostaticus. RNAcentral's name for it is "c-di-AMP sequence". It matches the Rfam family "c-di-AMP riboswitch aptamer (ydaO/yuaA leader)". Rfam says of the family: This family represents a conserved RNA structure found upstream of the ydaO and yuaA genes in Bacillus subtilis and related genes in other bacteria. Lineage: Bacteria; Bacillati; Actinomycetota; Actinomycetes; Kitasatosporales; Streptomycetaceae. The record is from RNAcentral.
CGUGCGCACGCGCCGAAUCCCGCAAGGGAACCGGGGAACCACCACCUUGGGGUGAAUCACGCGGAUGCCGUCGUGAACUGCUUGAGUCCACGACCGGUAUACGCGCGUAGGAGACCUUCCUGCUCCGAACCCGUCAGCUAACCCGGUAGGCGGAGGAAGGAAAGGAGUA